RNAcentral lists this ribosomal RNA (292 nucleotides) under uncultured bacterium. Its description in RNAcentral is "partial 16S ribosomal RNA". It matches the Rfam family "Bacterial small subunit ribosomal RNA", at positions 505 to 796 of the family's 1533-position model. The record is from RNAcentral.
GUGUCAGCCGCCGCGGUAAUACGGAGGGGGCAAGCGUUGUUCGGAGUUACUGGGCGUAAAGGGCGCGUAGGCGGUGCAACAAGUCAGGCGUGAAAGCCCCGGGCUUAACCUGGGAAUUGCGCUUGAUACUGUUGCGCUAGAGAUCGGGAGAGGAUGGCGGAAUUCCCAGUGUAGAGGUGAAAUUCGUAGAUAUUGGGAAGAACACCGGUGGCGAAGGCGGCCAUCUGGACCGCAUCUGACGCUGAGGCGCGAAAGCGUGGGGAGCAAACAGGAUUAGAAACCCCCGUAGUCC